RNAcentral lists this transfer RNA (72 nucleotides) under Cavia porcellus (domestic guinea pig). It matches the Rfam family "tRNA". From Rfam's summary of the family: Transfer RNA (tRNA) molecules are approximately 80 nucleotides in length. Their secondary structure includes four short double-helical elements and three loops (D, anti-codon, and T loops). Further hydrogen bonds mediate the characteristic L-shaped molecular structure. tRNAs have two regions of fundamental functional importance: the anti-codon, which is responsible for specific mRNA codon recognition, and the 3' end, to which the tRNAs corresponding amino acid is attached (by aminoacyl-tRNA synthetases). tRNAs cope with the degeneracy of the genetic code in two manners: having more than one tRNA (with a specific anti-codon) for a particular amino acid; and 'wobble' base-pairing, i.e. permitting non-standard base-pairing at the 3rd anti-codon position. Lineage: Eukaryota; Metazoa; Chordata; Mammalia; Rodentia; Caviidae. The record is from Rfam by way of RNAcentral.
GGGGAUGUAGCUCAGUGAUAGAGCACUUGCCUAGCAUGUACAAGGCCCUGAGUUCAAUCCUCAGUAUCAUUU